This is a long non-coding RNA of Drosophila montana, 641 nucleotides long. RefSeq lists it as uncharacterized. The transcript is spliced from 5 exons. The record is from RefSeq and is a predicted model, not a curated record. NCBI's taxonomy places the organism in Eukaryota, Metazoa, Arthropoda, Insecta, Diptera, Drosophilidae.
ACAAACAGUCGGAACUUCUAACAAAUGAACAGCACUAACAGCUGUUACAACAAGAAAAUAUAAACAACAAAGCGUACCCUCCCUACCUGAGACGAUCACCUAACCUCGUCCCCUUAUUUUGGCCACUAGUUGGCCUGCAUCAGCCCGUGUCGGCUGUCAUGCCCACUCUCCCCAUCAAUUUAAGCUUAGCCGGACAUUCUUUCCUUCAAUAUUGGGCAGCGCCGGCUGGCUCAUCGGAUUCUCUGGGUGCAGUCCCAUCCCUGGCCCGCAGUCCGCACAAUCGAUAACAACAAAGCUACACGUCUGUAGCAAAACAGACUCACACAACACUACUCAAAAUGAACCACAUAAUCGAUAACAAAUAUUCGGAACUGCUAACUCAUGAACAAAAUAAACAGCUGUAACAACUAUGAAAAUGUAAACAACAAAGAUCGGGCCCCGGUUCCGGACCCAGCGUACCCGCCCUGCCAUGAGACGAUCACCUACACUCGCCUCCCUCAUUUUGGCCACUAAAUGGCCUACAUUAGCCCGUGUCGGCCAUCAUGCCCACUCUCCCCAACAAUAUUACUUUAGCCGGACAUGCUUUCUUUCAAUAUCUAUUUGGAAUCUCAUGCAAGUGGAUAUUUCGUUAACUUCACAGA